AUUGAACGCUGGCGGAAUGCUUUACACAUGCAAGUCGAACGGCAGCACGGGGCAACCUGGUGGCGAGUGGCGAACGGGUGAGUAAUACAUCGGAACGUGCCCAAUCGUGGGGGAUAACGUAGCGAAAGUUACGCUAAUACCGCAUACGAUCUACGGAUGAAAGCGGGGGAUCGCAAGACCUCGCGCGAAUGGAGCGGCCGAUGUCAGAUUAGGUAGUUGGUGGGGUAAAGGCUCACCAAGCCAACGAUCUGUAGCUGGUCUGAGAGGACGACCAGCCACACUGGAACUGAGACACGGUCCAGACUCCUACGGGAGGCAGCAGUGGGGAAUUUUGGACAAUGGGCGCAAGCCUGAUCCAGCCAUUCCGCGUGCAGGAUGAAGGCCUCGGUUGUAACGUAGCUUUUGUUACGGUAACGGAAACGGACGGAA
Molecule: ribosomal RNA, 429 nt
Filed under: uncultured bacterium
Lineage: Bacteria
Description: bacterial SSU rRNA
Rfam family: Bacterial small subunit ribosomal RNA
Source: RNAcentral